GAUGAAGAACGUAGCGAAAUGCGAUACGUAGUGUGAAUUGCAGAAUUCAGUGAAUCAUCGAAUCUUUGAACGCACAUUGCACCUCCCGGUAUUCCGGGAGGUAUGCCUGUUCGAGCGUCAUUUGUACCCUCAAGCUCUGCUUGGUGUUGGGUGUUUGUUCCGCCUCUGUGUGUGAACUCGCCUCAAAACAAUUGGCAGCCGGCGUACUUGUUUCGGAGCGCAGCACAUUUUGCGAUCCAGAUCAACGUACAGCGGCAUCCAAGAAGCCUUAUUUAACGCUCUUGACCUCGGAUCAGGUAGGGAUACCCGCUGAACUUAAGCAUAUCAAUAGCGGAGGA
RNAcentral lists this unclassified non-coding RNA (338 nucleotides) under soil metagenome. RNAcentral's name for it is "partial contains 5.8S ribosomal RNA, internal transcribed spacer 2, and large subunit ribosomal RNA". The stretch from base 1 to 120 matches the Rfam family "5.8S ribosomal RNA", at positions 35 to 154 of the family's 154-position model. The record is from RNAcentral.